RNAcentral lists this ribosomal RNA (253 nucleotides) under uncultured bacterium. Its description in RNAcentral is "partial 16S ribosomal RNA". It matches the Rfam family "Bacterial small subunit ribosomal RNA", at positions 524 to 776 of the family's 1533-position model. The record is from RNAcentral.
UACGGGGGGGGCAAGCGUUGUUCGGAAUUACUGGGCGUAAAGGGCUCGUAGGCGGCCAACUAAGUCAGACGUGAAAUCCCCAGGCUCAACCUGGGAACUGCGUCUGAUACUGGAUGGCUUGAAUCCGGGAGAGGGAUGCAGAAUUCCAGGUGUAGCGGUGAAAUGCGUAGAUAUCUGGAGGAAUACCGGUGGCGAAGGCGGCAUCCUGGACCAAUACUGACGCUGAGACGCGAAAGCGUGGGGAGCGAACAGG